Molecule: ribosomal RNA, 439 nt
Filed under: uncultured bacterium
Lineage: Bacteria
Description: bacterial SSU rRNA
Rfam family: Bacterial small subunit ribosomal RNA
Source: RNAcentral
UGGGGAAUAUUGCGCAAUGGGCGCAAGCCUGAACGAGCAAUGCCGCGUGAACGAGGAAGGUCUUCGGAUCGUAAAGUUCUGUUGAGAGGGAAAAAGGGUCACCAGAGGAAAUGCUGGUGAAGUGAUAUUACCUUUCGAGGAAGUCACGGCUAACUACGUGCCAGCAGCCGCGGUAAUACGUAGGUGGCGAGCGUUAUCCGGAAUGAUUGGGCGUAAAGGGUGCGUAGGCGGCCUGUUAAGUCUGAAGUGAAAGGUACCGGCUCAACCGGUAUAGGCUUUGGAAACUGGCAGGCUGGAGGACAGGAGAGGGCGGUGGAACUCCAUGUGUAGCAGUAAAAUGCGUAGAUAUAUGGAAGAACACCAGUGGCGAAGGCGGCCGCCUGGCCUGUUACUGACGCUGAGGCACGAAAGCGUGGGGGAGCAAAUAGGAUUAGAUACC